Molecule: long non-coding RNA, 506 nt
Organism: Musa acuminata AAA Group (dessert banana)
Lineage: Eukaryota; Viridiplantae; Streptophyta; Magnoliopsida; Zingiberales; Musaceae
Exons: 2
Source: RefSeq, a predicted model, not a curated record
CACGAAAUGCAUACAUACUAUAAAUUCAGGUGUGCAUAUCAACAACACAAACAUCGAUUCUUAUUUCUUGGUAGAGAUGAUUCCAAGCAGAGGAUCGCGAUCUCUUCUGCUGCUUUUGCUCCUCUUCUCCUCCAUGCUUCUCCGAGCUUCCUCGCAGACCAACGCCACCGCAUCAGCGACACAUGUGGAGGAGAGCACAAGAAGGGAAGUCGCGGCGGUGAGGGAGUUGAGAGGCGGUUCUCGCGGUGCCGGCGGUGGUCGAUCACCCGUAACCAGAGGCAGCGGCGGCGCUGCAGCUGGUGGGAGCGGCGGCCACAGUGCUUCAUGCAGCAGCUAUGGUCGCCAUGUCGCCAUCACUUCUCUUGCCUUCGCUAUUGGCGCUGCCAUUGUGAAUUCCAUGUAGACUUCUUCUUGUCGUUGCAACAGAGAGAGUCAUACUCCCGCUUGCAUGAAUGCAAGAGAGAAGAAAAAGAUCUGUUAUAUUAUCAUUAUUAUUCCUUCUUUUA